Non-coding RNA from Lactuca sativa (garden lettuce), 1156 nucleotides. The record is from RefSeq and is a predicted model, not a curated record. Lineage: Eukaryota; Viridiplantae; Streptophyta; Magnoliopsida; Asterales; Asteraceae.
UUUUGGGGAUUUUACACUCACCUCCCUUCCCUUUCUUUUCUUAUUUUACACCACCGCCGCCACCGCUAUUAUUCUCCAAUCAGCUUCUUCUACGCCACCGACCUAAACACUUCCCAAACCUUUCCAUUACAAUCUUGCUUGACCUACACAAAACAUUUCGUUCUCUCUUGGCUGCUCCGUUCAUAUGAAGAAGGUGGGUCUGCCAGGUUUGUGGUGGUUUCCGUGAAGAGGGUUUAUGAAAUCGAAGUACACACCUGAAAUCGGCGUGAAGAGGCUGCGGUGAUGAUGAGCAUCGCCAGUGACGGAGCAGAAUUUCGAGUCUGAAAUUCAAAUUAAGGGUUUAAGGGUAAGGCUAGGGUUCUAAAUCAGCAGCAACACCUUUAGGGGUUAUGCUUAUCAUAUCGGAAUCCUGACCCAUUUGUUUUAACUGAGGAAAACCACCGCACACCACCAUCGCCACCGUCUAUUUCAUCCCCUCUUAACAAUAUCAAUAAUGGAAGGGAGGAGUUGCCCUCUCUUUUCUAUCACCACAUGAACUGACGGCGGUAUAUGGUAGCUGAAUCGCUGGACUCCGGGGUAGCUAGCUGGAAUCAGGACUCUGGCACACAAUGGCCAUGCUUUAUUGAAGAUUGACAUCAUGUGAAAUGUUCUUAAAAUAGUUGCUACUUUGGCCAACCAAUAUCUCAAAUAUGUUUACCUAAGCUUCAAUAUUUGCUUCUUUUGUUUGAUAUCCAACACAAAAGGCGUAUAACAUCUUGCUUGAUGCAUUUGCGAAUCUAGAAUGGUGGACCAAACCAAGAUUGUGUUCAAGAGUAUGCGAGGAAACAAGUGAGGGUAUAUGUGUCUUAUUUUCAUAAACAAGAGAUAGAAACUAAAUUUCUUUUUUCAUAUGCAGAUGUACACUGGAUAUUUGCUCAUACACAAGUAUGUUGUGGACAUAUUUCAAUGCAUUUGACAUGGAACGACCUGAGAAGUUCUUUAGAAGGAUAAAGGAAGAUGAACGUCAACCGAAUCGGACUCUAAGGUAUAUGUGUCCUGAUUUUCCUGGUCAAAGGAAUUGGAUCGGGAAACUAUGAGUCCAGGUAUAGUGGUGGCUUGCAUAUAAGAGACCAUGAUACAUGCAUAAGUAAGUACAUCUUUUUUGGUAUGCUGAAGU